Molecule: ribosomal RNA, 908 nt
Filed under: uncultured bacterium
Lineage: Bacteria
Description: bacterial SSU rRNA
Rfam family: Bacterial small subunit ribosomal RNA
Source: RNAcentral
ACGCUGGCGGCAGGCUUAACACAUGCAAGUCGAACGGUAACAGGGAUUAGCUUGCUAAUCUGCUGACGAGUGGCGGACGGGUGAGUAAUGCUUGGGAAUCUGGCUUAUGGAGGGGGAUAACUACGGGAAACUGUAGCUAAUACCGCGUAAAAUCUUCGGAUUAAAGGGUGGGACUUUCGAGCCACCUGCCAUAAGAUGAGCCCAAGUGGGAUUAGGUAGUUGGUUAGGUAAAGGCUGACCAAGCCGACGAUCUCUAGCUGGUCUGAGAGGAUGACCAGCCACACUGGAACUGAGACACGGUCCAGACUCCUACGGGAGGCAGCAGUGGGGAAUAUUGCACAAAGGGGGGAACCCUGAUGCAGCCAUGCCGCGUGAAUGAAGAAGGCCUUCGGGUUGUAAAGUUCUUUCGGUGACGAGGAAGGUCGGUAGGUUAAUAGCCUAUCAAAUUGACGUUAAUCACAGAAGAAGCACCGGCUAACUCCGUGCCAGCAGCCGCGGUAAUACGGGGGGUGCGAGCGUUAAUCGGAAUAACUGGGCGUAAAGGGCACGCAGGCGGUGACUUAAGUGAGAUGUGAAAGCCCCGAGCUUAACUUGGGAAUUGCAUUUCAUACUGGGUCGCUAGAGUACUUUAGGGAGGGGUAGAAUUCCACGUGUAGCGGUGAAAUGCGUAGAGAUGUGGAGGAAUACCGAAGGCGAAGGCAGCCCCUUGGGAAUGUACUGACGCUCAUGUGCGAAAGCGUGGGGAGCAAACAGGAUUAGAUACCCUGGUAGUCCACGCUGUAAACGAUGUCGAUUUGGGGAUUGGGCUUUGAGCUUGGUGCCCGUAGCUAACGUGAUAAAUCGACCGCCUGGGGAGUACGGCCGCAAGGUUAAAACUCAAAUGAAUUGACGGGGGCCCGCACAAGCGG